GACUAAGCCAUGCAUGUCUAAGUCCAAGCUGUGUGUUGGGUGCAAGCUCACACACGGCGAAACCGCGGACGGCUCAUUAAAUCAGUCGUGGUCCAAAUGGGCUAGUGUUAUCCUACUUGGAUAACUGUGGUAAUUCCAGAGCUAAUACAUGCAACUGAAAUCCUGAAUUGCUGUGGCUUCUUCUCUUCGCGGGGAGGUUGUUCACGCUGCGACGGAUGCUUUUAUUAGACCAAACCGCUUAGAGAGACUUGCUCUCUCGAAGACUCGUGUUAUGGUGACUCUGAAUAACACCACUUGACAAGCGCACGUAUCCAUUCGUUUGGGACGGCGCUGCCACUUUCGAGUGUCUGCCUUAUCAGCUAUGUAUCGUUCGUUAUGUGCGACCGAUGGCUUUGACGGGUAACGGGGAAUCAGGGUUCGAUUCCGGAGAGGCAGCCUGAGAAACGGCUACCACGUCCAAGGACGGCAGCAGGCACGCAAAUUACCCAAUCCCAGCACAUGGGGGAGGUAGUGACGAAAUCUAACGAUGCGGGCGCCCCUUCUGGGGCCCCGCAAUCGGAAUGAGCAUUUUCUUUCUAAACACCCUGUUGAGAACCUACUGAAGGGCAAGUCUGGUGCCAGCAGCCGCGGUAAUUCCAGCUUCAGCAGCAUCUACUAAAGUUGCUGCGGUUAAAAGGCUCGCAGUUGAAUGUCAGUAUCAAGUGCAGCGAUGGUGGACGUUGGAGUGUGGGAGCAACUCGCUAGGCGCGGCUCACGCUGUGUCGAGCGUGCCUCCCCACCUAGCUCCCGUCCGUAACAAGCCUCCUCACUUGCGUGCAAAGUGGAAUCUGUUUUGGUUUUUGUGGAUGUGUUCUCGCACUUGUGCUGUGGUCGUGUGUGUGCGGUGCUUGCACUGUCGCGCGCGGCUGCGGGGCGAUGUGGGAGCCUCUUCGAGAGCUGGUUUUCAAAGUCACCUUGAGUAAAUCAGAGUGCUCAAAGCAGUCGUAAGGAAUGUGCAGCUUGCUGUACGUUCUGUGAUGAAUGUCUUUAUUGACAGACGGUCUUGGUUUUGCAAGGUAUGUCGAAAGACGCCGUAUUUCUUGUUGGUAACGAGUCUGGUGCGGGCUCGCACCCGUGUGUGCGCUCUCUCUCGGGAGGGUGUGUGCGCGAGUGUGACACGUGAGACCAACAAGUGCGGAAUGAUUAAGAGGUUCGGUCGAGGGCAUUGGUAUUGCGAGGCGAGAGGUGAAAUUCUAUGACCCCCGCAAGACCUCCUGAAGCGAAAGCGUCUGCCAAGGACGUUUUCAUUAAUCAKAACGACCAGGCGUGGACCUGCGGCUUAAUUUGACUCAACACGGGCCAUCUCACAGGCCAGCACUCUUGUACGAUUGACAGAUUGAGAGUUCUUUCUCGAUUCAGUGGAUGGUGGUGCAUGGCCGUUCUUAGUUGGUGGAGUGAUCUGUCUGGUUAAUUCCGAUAACGAACGAGACUCUCCCCUGCUAACUAGUCGGUUGGAUCUUGCAUCUGGAGAGUUGUGGGGCGCCGCGUCUGUGGCGUUUGCGUCGAGGGCUCUGUGUAGGUGGGUUUCGGCUCGCUUGCGCGUUGUCUCUUUGCGUGUGCGCUCUCUCGUGCGUGUCUCACACUCCAAGUCCGCCGCUUAUUCGGAUGUGAUGUGUAACAGCAAAGCUAUGAGUAAAACUCUUCUUAGAGGGAUUCACGGUUCUGAAGCCGUAAGAAACUGAGAGCAAUAACAGGUCUGUGAUGCCCUUAGAUGUUCUGGGCCGCACGCGCGCUACAAUGCCGGGCUCAGCAGGUGUUCAUCCUUCUCCGAGAGGAGUGGGUAACCCUCUGAAAGCUCUCUAUCAUUAUCAUUGGCUUGGGGUGUUCCCUUCGCGGGGUUCGCUCCUUUGCCUCCAUGGCUUGCUUGGGCCUGGGGCUUGCAAUUCUUUCCCACCAACGAGGAAUGCCUAGUAGCGGCGGGUCACUGAGCCCGCCGUGACUCAGUCCCUGCCCUUUGUACACACCGCCCGUCGCUACUACCGAUUGGGUGUACCAGUGAGAUCCUUGGACUGGCGAGCCUUGUACACCAGCAAUGGAGUGCAAGUGUGUGCGACGGGAAGAGGCUCGAACUGGUGCACUUAGAGGAAGUAAAAGUCGUAACAAGGGUCC
Molecule: ribosomal RNA, 2148 nt
Filed under: Schraderia gracilis
Lineage: Eukaryota; Metazoa; Arthropoda; Malacostraca; Amphipoda; Pontogeneiidae
Description: partial 18S ribosomal RNA
Rfam family: Eukaryotic small subunit ribosomal RNA
Source: RNAcentral